Molecule: ribosomal RNA, 396 nt
Filed under: uncultured bacterium
Lineage: Bacteria
Description: partial 16S ribosomal RNA
Rfam family: Bacterial small subunit ribosomal RNA
Source: RNAcentral
CCUACGGGAGGCAGCAGUGAGGAAUAUUGGUCAAUGGGCGAGAGCCUGAACCAGCCAAGUCGCGUGAAGGAAGACGGUCCUAUGGGUUGUAAACCUCUUUUAUAGGGGAGCAAAAGGCUCCACGAGUGGGGUUCCGAGAGUACCAGAAGAAAAAGCAUCGGCUAACUCCGUGCCAGCAGCCGCGGUAAUAAGGAGGAAGCGAGCGUUCUCGGGAUUUAUUGGGUUAAAAGGGUGCGAAGGGGGAAGUUUAAGUCAGCGGUAAAAUUGAGAGGCCAAACGUCACAGAGCAGUUGAAACUGGUAGUCUUGAGUGCGUGAGAAGUAGGCGGAAUGCGUGGUGUAGCGGUGAAAUGCAUAGAUAUCACGCAGAACUCCGAUUGCGAAGGCAGCUUACCGG